RNAcentral lists this small RNA (664 nucleotides) under Pan troglodytes (chimpanzee). Its description in RNAcentral is "retained intron". The record is from RNAcentral. Lineage: Eukaryota; Metazoa; Chordata; Mammalia; Primates; Hominidae.
CAACCAGAUGCAUCUCUGAGAGUUAACAGCAGAAGGUGGCAUAAUAAAAGAAGUUCUCGGUAGUGAAAAGGGUUGGAAACCACCAGCUAAACCAAUCCUCUUGUACCAAUAGGAGAUUCAAGUUGAGAGGUGGGAAAGGGCCUAUCUCAGAGUAGGUGCUUGAAUACUUCCUACUAGAAUGAAAGAAGGAACUGAAGAUCACACAGCCAUGUUACUGCAGGACGGGGAAUGGAACCUAGGUCUUCUUAUUUUUGGUUCAGUGUUAACUCCCAUUCUCCAAGCAGACCGGGCCUGUUAUUCAAACUGCCUUCCCAUAGGUGCUUCCCUGCUUCUCUCCUCACCCAGAGAAGGACUUACAAACAGCUUAUCUUCAGAGGUUUUGUGCCUGAUAGUUAUGGAAUGUGCUGGUUUGAGCAGGGAGGAUGUAAGGGGAGGGGAAUGCUAAAAGCCUGUCUACUUAGAGUCAGGUUUCCUGGGUAAGUCCCUGGAACCCCAUCCCCUUCCCCUUUCUUGAGACCCUGGGACUUGCUCCAGUAACUGCCACCCUGUGCCUUUGCUUCAGGGCCAUGCUGGAUAAGGAGCUGGCUGCCUCUGUGAACAUCCUACUCAAGGCAUCUUCACUGCUGUACAUCCUUUUGAAAUCCCAGAGAUCUUCAGUCUCCCU